This 505-nucleotide ribosomal RNA is filed under the name uncultured Acidobacteriota bacterium. Its description in RNAcentral is "bacterial SSU rRNA". It matches the Rfam family "Bacterial small subunit ribosomal RNA", at positions 355 to 851 of the family's 1533-position model. The record is from RNAcentral. Lineage: Bacteria; Pseudomonadati; Acidobacteriota.
UGGGGAAUUGUUCGCAAUGGGCGCAAGCCUGACGACGCAACGCCGCGUGGAGGAUGAAGGUCUUCGGAUUGUAAACUCCUGUCGAACGGGACGAACACCUUUUCAGUUAACACCUGGAGAGGCUGACGGUACCGUGAGAGGAAGCCCCGGCUAACUCUGUGCCAGCAGCCGCGGUAAUACAGAGGGGGCAAGCGUUGUUCGGAAUUACUGGGCGUAAAGGCGCGUAGGCGGCCUUCUAAGUCAGACGUGAAAUCCCUCGGCUCAACCGGGGAACUGCGUCUGAGACUGGAAGGCUUGAAUUCGGGAGAGGGAUGUGGAAUUCCAGGUGUAGCGGUGAAAUGCGUAGAUAUCUGGAGGAACACCGGUGGCGAAGGCGGCAUCCUGGACCGAUAUUGACGCUGAUGCGCGAAAGCCAGGGGAGCAAACGGGAUUAGAUACCCCGGUAGUCCUGGCCCUAAACGAUGAAUGCUUGGUGUGGCGGGUAUCGAUCCCUGCCGUGCCGAAG